AUUUGAUUAUGAAAUUAUCACCUUCCGUGUCUCUGAAAGGGUGACUUUUUUAAACAAUUUUUGUAAGGAAAUUUAUCAGUUCUUAUGGCUGGAAUACAGUUCAACAUAAUUCCAAAAUGUAGUUUUGUUAAUAUGGUUUAUGUUAUGAGCUUGACCCUGUUAUGGUAGACAGGUAGUUUCUUAGGGUUUAGGUUGGUGAUCUAGGAAGAACUUCUUGUGAACACAGAAGUGAAAAGUGUAAUACUUAAGCUGCCAAUUUGUGUAAAAGCUAAACUUGAUCACUUAUCCACACUGAGAGUGAAUGGUACGAAUGGACGUGGAUGCAUAGUUAUGCAAAUCAUUGUUGUGUUGGAGUCUUAAUUCCAACAUAGUUUCAAGGAAAUGCUAAGGGCAUCUAAGCGUUCCCAGACUCUGCAAUGACAGGAGACUCAUUGACUGGCCUGCUCGUUUUCUUCUUUUGUGUGUGUGUGUGUGUUGGAAUUCUAAUUCCAUUGGUGUUGUCAAGCAUGUCUUGAUUGUUUAUGAGGAAUAGGAUCCAAUCCAACAUGCAUACAGAGAUGGUUGUUGUUAGAUUAUUUGGAGUGCUUGUGUCUAGGGUGGUUGACCAGUAAUGACAAAUGCAAGAGUGCUGGAAAAUUUACUUGCUUCAGUGUUUGUUUUUCUUGUUUAACAUAAAGUGAUGACUUGGUCUCAUUCAAGUGCAUUAUUGGAAUCUAAACUUGUGUUUAUUUCUGGCUGGGACAUGAGAACCUCAUUUUAAAUCACAUCCUCCACCCUGUGUGGUUAAAGUUUAUUGGCAUAUCUUAUUUAUUCGUUCAGGAUAGAUUGAGAAUUUAUUGUGUAAGAUACACAUCUCCACUCUUUGUUCUUGUAGAGAGUGAAGGAUGAGGUUCAG
RNAcentral lists this unclassified non-coding RNA (895 nucleotides) under Hevea brasiliensis (rubber tree). The record is from RNAcentral. Lineage: Eukaryota; Viridiplantae; Streptophyta; Magnoliopsida; Malpighiales; Euphorbiaceae.